UUUCGCAAUGCCCGAAAGGGUGACGAAGCGACGCCGCGUGGGUGAGGAAGGCCUUCGGGUUGUAAAGCCCUGUCAGGGGUUAAGAAAUGUAAGUGCGCUAAUAUCGCAUUUAUUUGACGAAGGCUCCAAAGGAAGCCACGGCUAACUCUGUGCCAGCAGCCGCGGUAAUACAGAGGUGGCAAGCGUUGUUCGGAAUUAUUGGGCGUAAAGAGCACGUAGGUGGGUUUGUAAGUCAGAUGUGAAAGCCUUCUGUUCAACGGAAGAAUUGCAUCUGAAACUGCGAGUCUUGAGUGUAGGAGGGGAGAAUGGAACUUCUGGUGGAGCGGUGAAAUGCGUAGAUAUCAGAAGGAACGCCGGCGGCGAAAGCGAUUCUCUGGCCUAUUACUGACACUCAGUGUGCGAAAGCUAGGGGAGCAAACGGGAUUAGAUACCCCGGUAGUCCUAGCCGUAAACGAUGGGCACUAAGUAGAGGGGUUUU
This 478-nucleotide ribosomal RNA is filed under the name uncultured bacterium. Its description in RNAcentral is "bacterial SSU rRNA". It matches the Rfam family "Bacterial small subunit ribosomal RNA", at positions 364 to 832 of the family's 1533-position model. The record is from RNAcentral.